CAGUGGGCCGGCCCAAUCAGCGCGUCGUCCCGACAUUUUUCUACCUCAAUCUGUAUGGGCCAAGAAGACUUCCAUUUUGAUGAAGCAAAGCCCAACUUGUAAGCGCUCCCUUUCAGCAGCUUCGGCCCAUGCGACAGAUUCCGGUUGGUCGAGCUGCUCCGCUGCCGGCCGGCGCCCCUCGCCGCCUCCCUCCAGUCCGGUGGCCACAGCGCCCUCUCGCCGUUCAAGCUAUCGAACGCACAUCCGGAGCCACAAAAGAGAGAGCGCCCGCGCCCGCGCCCCCGUUGCCCCGCGCGACACGGCGAUUUCGCGAGCCCUAGCGAAUCUUGAGGCCCUCGGUGGAAUCGAAAAUCAAGCUGGGGAUGCUGGCUCGCCGGCGGUCCGGCGGAGCGUGAAUGAUCUGGUGGCAUGCCCUCUGGAGGUGAUCCUUUCCAGGGAGCCAAAGUUGGUGGUGGGAGAGGCACCAUGCAUGGACAAGGACUAUUUUGAGAUGAAUAUCGGACAAGGGGUUCGAUCUAAUUUAUCCAUAGCAACAACCCUCCUCUAUAAUGAGCCUGCAAUAUAAGCUAUGCUAGGUCUCGUCUUAAUAAGAUGGGAGUUAAGUUAGGUUCAGUUAACCUGCAAUAUAUAACUGUACUGAAUUGGUACCCAGAUGCUCUCAAAACACACAUAAUCUUUUGCCAUCAGAUGAAAAUAUGUAACGUGGUCAAAGAAGAAGAAGAUAGCUACGGUAGCAAA
Molecule: long non-coding RNA, 738 nt
Organism: Aegilops tauschii subsp. strangulata
Lineage: Eukaryota; Viridiplantae; Streptophyta; Magnoliopsida; Poales; Poaceae
Source: RefSeq, a predicted model, not a curated record